Apis mellifera (honey bee) is the source of this 2279-nucleotide RNA transcript. RefSeq lists it as uncharacterized. The record is from RefSeq and is a predicted model, not a curated record. The transcript has 5 exons. NCBI's taxonomy places the organism in Eukaryota, Metazoa, Arthropoda, Insecta, Hymenoptera, Apidae.
GAAAUUUAAAAUUGGAGUUUGAGAGAGAGAGAGAAAGAAAAGGAAAAGAAGACAUCAAAAUUUAUUUUCAAAGGAGAGGUGAUAAGAAUUUUUGAUAUUAUAGAGGAAAAGAAGAUACACGAGUGGGAUCAGUUUCUUCUUCUUCUUAUAAGCGUUACUCACGCUCAACGGGGUGUACACUUAUAUGGGGAAAAUGGAAGAGAAAUCUAUACCGACCACCCAUCGUGACCGUGGUGGAAAGGUGAAUUAAAGUCACAAUGCGGCUACAGCGAUCUUGGGAAUUUAGAGAUAAUGGAGUAGGGCAGAACGCUGGUCCAAUUCUAUCGAGCGACCAGGUAUCGACUUACGACCGCGAGGAAGCUCCUUUCAUUAAAGAAAUUAUUUUUGACCCGUGCUACGCUUUAGAAAAAAAAGGAAAAGACACCGCACACGUGCAGAGCACACCUUUAUUUAUCACGCUUCGAUUCGUGUCUCUCUGCAAAUUGAAAUUAAUCAUCCCUUUGUUAAAACGACAUGCAUAUAUUCCUUUUACAAAGUCGAGAGGGAAGAUUUUUUUGAGAAGGUGUGUAACGUCUCUAUUACCAAAAUGAUCGAUAAAAAAAGAAAUAAGAAAGGAAGGAAGGAAGGAAGGGGUGUGGGAACGCGAUGAAGCUUUUGGAGAGGGACGAAAGAGGAGGGGAGGAGGAAGCGUGGGAGGAGUUGGAUGGAAACGCAAAAGCAUGGAAACCGAACUUAAAAAAGAAGAGGCAAAGGGUGAUGGUGUGAACAGGUCCAGACUAGGUGGUCCCUCCUAGCCAAGUGGUUCCCCCGAUCGGGGAAAAAGCACCAGUAGCUUAUCCCCACGGUCUACGGAUAAUCGCGGCUGGAAUCACACUAAUUUCAACCUGGGAGGAAGAAAAGUGGAAAGAUGCGCAAACGAGACUGCUUUCCAACCAGUCACCAUUCCCAAUCAGGAUCACGGAACAUCCACUGUUGUUGUUAAUCCGACUUCGUCACUGCGAGCGAAAGGAGACACAGGAGAAACAGAGAGACAGAGAUAGAGACACAGAGAGAGAGAGAGAGAGAGAGAGAGAGAGAGAGAGAGAGAGAGAGAGAGGAAAUGGAAGAAAUCUUCGCUUCGAAACGGAAGAAUCAUUUGCAACGUUUCUUCGAGAUUAUUUUUUCACUCGAACGAAUUCAAUUCUCUCUCUCUCUCUUUCUCUCCUUUGAUCCUAGUCGAGAACAUUUUCACACUUUCUUCUCGACGAGAGUGUAGGAAGAUGGAAAGGUAAAGUACCGUUGCCGAGUUUAUUAUCACGGAUCUUUGGAUACGACUUACGUCCUGUCGUUGUCAAUGCAUCUCCAUAAAUCACGUGGCGUGGUGAAGAUCAAGGACGUGGUGAAGCCACCUCGAGCGAAUGAUCAGUUGGCGGGAGAAUAAGAGAGAGAGAGAGAGAGAGAAAUAUAGAGAAAUAGAGAAAAAGAGAGAGAGAGAAUUUAAUAAGUUGUAAAUUAAAAGUUCUCUUAACUGUCAUUUCCUUAUAGCCAAUCGAUGCUUGGUCACCGAUGCAUCCUGUCGUCGAGCAUUACAGCGCUUGUUCUGCCGGCGAUACGAGCAGUAACUGACUUUUUCCGUUUUUUAUCCGGAUAAAGUAUCUCCCCUUUCCUCUCGCUCAUAUUCUUCUUCCCUCGCUACGUCACUUUUUCCAUACGCAUAAAUUUAGCAUCGUUAACUGUUACGAUAAAUUGGCGUCAACAAUUUGUCGCAAUUUCCGCUAAAUUUAUGCUAUCCUACGAUAUCCUCCGUAGAACUCGUUGUAUUUAUCUAUAUAUACAUUUUUCUAGCCCACGUUUCUAUGGAUGGUAAGAGACGACCAAUCGAGAGGUGGACAAUUUUUAUCGUGGACAAAUUACUCUAGUCGUCGUUCGAGCGAAGAGUAUGAAUCUCAAUGGUAGAAGAGGAUUGGAACUAAUUACCACCCAGAAGCGACGUCUAUACCUCUGGUAAUGGCGAGGAAGAAGACUGACCCUCCUCGCGACUGUACAACCCGACCUCUGCAUCGACCUCGCCGAUUUAUAUCCUCGUAACAAGGUAAAAAAACCUUGGAGGACAAAAGGAAUGGGGGAAGGGAGAGAAGAGACGUAUAAAGAGUAAGAUUCGUUUUGCAUGCGUAACGUUUUUUCGUAGCUACCAUCGUUUCCUAGUCUUUAUUUGAUCCAUGUUAAGGGAAUGAAAAGAAACGACAAGCUUCUUGAUCUGUUGAUUUAUUCCUCUCUUGUUCGUCAGGUUAGUUUUCUCG